Oxyura jamaicensis (ruddy duck) is the source of this 841-nucleotide long non-coding RNA. RefSeq lists it as uncharacterized. The transcript is spliced from 3 exons. The record is from RefSeq and is a predicted model, not a curated record. Lineage: Eukaryota; Metazoa; Chordata; Aves; Anseriformes; Anatidae.
UGCCAUCAAACUUGCUCAGCCUAUCUCCAUGGGUGAUAUUUUUAUAAGUCUGUUUUCCUUUGCACUUGCAAUGGGCUAGGAAGGCAUGCAGAGCAGUCACUACUAGUUAGUUGAUAGCUAGCAACAUCUUGCAGUAAAGAUGAAAGAAAUUAGAACUGGGAACCUGAAGAACUUCUGGAUAUUUCACCAAUGAACUGGAUUUUUUGAGUGGGAAAAGGACUAUUGGAUUCAGGGAAGAGAAUUUGAAAGUUCUUCAGAAGUUCUUUGGAAGGUUCUUGCUAGACACAAAGACUAAAAAACAUCUAAGUGAACUUCCAACAGCUGGUGGGUUAGAUCUUCAGCUGCUGUAGAUUUCAACAUAUUGGGCUCAAUUUUUCCAUGUCUCUUUGGAUGUUUUAUAAGUUUGGCUGUUGUCCCCCACAGAAGUAAACAUCUGGACACAUCUGUGGGCUUGGGCUGCUUGGGACAGCCCUUGAAGGAGCAGGAAUGUGCCACAAACCCAAUGAACGGAAAUGGCUCUGGAAGAGACAGAGCAACCCAGGGUCUGGCAGAGGGAUGUGCUUGCAGAGGAAAAAUGGUAAACAUAUAGAGAAAUCUGACUUGAAUUUAGGAAAGGCCUCAAAGAGUGAGGAGACAGAACCUGAAUCAUCAGUAACAAAAAAGAUUUUGUCCAGUCUUGUAAAUUUGUUCGUUUGACAGCAUACUUUUAUAAGAGGAAAUGAGAAAUAAAGAAAAAAAGUAAAAAAGUAUAAGUAAAUUAAAGAGUGAGGAAUUAACUAAAGGCUUUAGAAAUGUUUAGGCUGCUAUUUCUUUCACCUAUCGUAAGUCUCUAAAGAGGUGC